UACGGAGGGAGCUAGCGUUGUUCGGAAUUACUGGGCGUAAAGCGUGCGCAGGCGGUUUCUUAAGUCAGAUGUGAAAGCCCCGGGCUUAACCUGGGAACUGCGUUUGAAACUGGGAGACUUGAGUGUGGCAGAGGGGGGUGGAAUUCCACGUGUAGCAGUGAAAUGCGUAGAUAUCGGGAGGAAUACCGAUGGCGAAGGCAGCCCCCUGGGCUAACACUGACGCUCAUGCACGAAAGCGUGGGGAGCAAACAGG
Molecule: ribosomal RNA, 253 nt
Filed under: uncultured bacterium
Lineage: Bacteria
Description: partial 16S ribosomal RNA
Rfam family: Bacterial small subunit ribosomal RNA
Source: RNAcentral